This 335-nucleotide unclassified non-coding RNA is filed under the name soil metagenome. RNAcentral's name for it is "partial contains 5.8S ribosomal RNA, internal transcribed spacer 2, and large subunit ribosomal RNA". The stretch from base 1 to 120 matches the Rfam family "5.8S ribosomal RNA", at positions 35 to 154 of the family's 154-position model. The record is from RNAcentral.
GAUGAAGAACGUAGCGAAAUGCGAUAAGUAAUGCGAAUUGCAGAAUUCCGUGAGUCAUCGAAUCUUUGAACGCACAUUGCGCCCGCCAGUAUUCUGGCGGGCAUGCCUGUUCGAGCGUCAUUUCAACCAUCAAGCCCCCGGCUUGUGUUGGGGACCUGCGGCUGCCGCAGGCCCUGAAAAGCAGUGGCGGGCUCGCUGUCACACCGAGCGUAGUAGCAUACAUCUCGCUCUGGGCGUGCUGCGGGUUCCGGCCGUUAAACCACCUUCAUAACCCAAGGUUGACCUCGGAUCAGGUAGGAAGACCCGCUGAACUUAAGCAUAUCAAUAAGCGGAGA